This 227-nucleotide long non-coding RNA is filed under the name Elaeis guineensis (African oil palm). RNAcentral describes it as "long non-coding RNA (EGUI_LNC055102)". The record is from RNAcentral. Lineage: Eukaryota; Viridiplantae; Streptophyta; Magnoliopsida; Arecales; Arecaceae.
AGUAUCGAUGAUCUGGAUGUAUCAACUACAUAUCGGUGCUUUUGAUAUACCGACUAACCAUCGAUCAUUGACUCUGAUAUACCGACUAACUAUCGGUUAUGUAGUCAAUCGAGUCAUUAUGAUUGUUUUGUAGCUGCCAAAGAAGUUGAUUGGGGGUCAUCGAUAGUUAGCCAAUAUACCGAUUGAUAGUUAGCAGUCCGUGUCCAUGGCACCGAUGAAAUGUCGGG